This 393-nucleotide ribosomal RNA is filed under the name uncultured bacterium. RNAcentral describes it as "partial 16S ribosomal RNA". It matches the Rfam family "Bacterial small subunit ribosomal RNA", at positions 523 to 918 of the family's 1533-position model. The record is from RNAcentral.
AUACGGAAGAUGCGAGCGUUAUCCGGAUUUAUUGGGUUUAAAGGGAGCGUAGGCGGAAGGUUAAGUCAGGGGUGAAAUGCCGUCGCUCAACGACGGAGCUGCCCUUGAUACUGGCGUGCUGGAGUACGGAUGCCGUUGGAGGAAUGAGUGGUGUAGCGGUGAAAUGCUUAGAUAUCACUCAGAACACCGAUUGCGAAGGCAUCUGACGAAUCCGUCACUGACGCUGAGGCACGAAAGCGUGGGGAUAGAACAGGAUUAGAUACCCUGGUAUUCCACGCCGUAAACGAUGAUGACUAACCGUCGGCGAUAGACAGCCGGUGGCCAAGCGAAAGCGAUAAGUCAUCCACCAGGGGAGUACGUCGGCAACGAUGAAACUCAAAGGAAUUGACGGGG